This 505-nucleotide ribosomal RNA is filed under the name uncultured bacterium. RNAcentral describes it as "partial 16S ribosomal RNA". It matches the Rfam family "Bacterial small subunit ribosomal RNA", at positions 28 to 507 of the family's 1533-position model. The record is from RNAcentral.
GACGAACGCUGGCGGCGUGCCUAAUACAUGCAAGUAGAACGCACAGUUUAUACCGUAGCUUGCUACACCAUAGACUGCGAGUUGCGAACGGGUGAGUAACGCGUAGGUAACCUGCCUGGUAGCGGGGGAUAACUAUUGGAAACGAUAGCUAAUACCGCAUAAUAUUAAUUAUUGCAUGAUAAUUGAUUGAAAGAUGCAACUGCAUCACUACCAGAUGGACCUGCGUUGUAUUAGCUAGUAGGUGAGGUAACGGCUCACCUAGGCGACGAUACAUAGCCGACCUGAGAGGGUGAUCGGCCACACUGGGACUGAGACACGGCCCAGACUCCUACGGGAGGCAGCAGUAGGGAAUCUUCGGCAAUGGACGAAAGUCUGACCGAGCAACGCCGCGUGAGUGAAGAAGGUUUUCGGAUCGUAAAGCUCUGUUGUAAGAGAAGAACGGGUGUGAGAGUGGAAAGUUCACACUGUGACGGUAUCUUACCAGAAAGGGACGGCUAACUACGUG